Molecule: long non-coding RNA, 236 nt
Organism: Lytechinus variegatus (green sea urchin)
Lineage: Eukaryota; Metazoa; Echinodermata; Echinoidea; Temnopleuroida; Toxopneustidae
Exons: 3
Source: RefSeq, a predicted model, not a curated record
AUUAUAUUGUCAUUAUUUGUCAGAAUCAACUUCCACUCAGGACGACACGACAACAACAACUACCACUACACUUUCUCCAACUGCCGCUGACUCUGAAUCAACUUCCACUCAGGACGACACGACAACAACAACUACCACUACACUUUCUCCAACUGCCGCUGACUCUGAAUCAACUUUCAUCCAGGACGACACGACAACAACUACUACAACACUCUCUAACACUGCCACUGACACUG